This 1029-nucleotide long non-coding RNA is filed under the name Salmo salar (Atlantic salmon). RNAcentral's name for it is "lncRNA (ENSSSAG00000093858.1)". The record is from RNAcentral. Lineage: Eukaryota; Metazoa; Chordata; Actinopteri; Salmoniformes; Salmonidae.
UUUUUUUUUACCAUAACCAUGCUUUAUUAUUACCAAUGUGAUUAAAAGGAUACAUACAAACUUCCAACAAUAAAAUACAUCAGCACAUGACAGCACAUCCAGCAUCACACAUUUUCAACAAUGGCGCUCUUCCUCUUAGCAUUGGUAGAGCUUGUUGACCUUCAGGACAUCAAUGUCGGACAUGCCCAGUCUCUGUCCAAUGGCCACAGAUGGGUCUGGGAUGGGAGUGAUGGUUUCCUUUCCGUAGUCGUUAGUGUAAGCGGUUCUAUCAUAGUGCAUGACAGAGGAGUAGUCGUAUGCAGUGUGCAGGUUGUUGGUGUCCUCCUUCUGGAAGUUCCCAACGGCGUAGUCAUAGAUGUAUUGCCAGUUGAUCCUGAUAUACUGUUCACGGUCACUCCUGUUGUGCUCGUGGUAGGCAGUCUGUGUCUUACGUGGAAUGAAGCGGAUGCAGGUCUUGCCUUGGAAGUACUUCAUGGCCGUCUCAAUAGUCUCUACCUCCAAGCUGGAAUAUACAGCGCUGAGGAUGUAAGGCACGUACACCAAGCCGUCAGAUGACUUCUUCCAGAGACAGCUGUACUGGCUGCUAAAGCACUUCAUGGCGUUCCUGGUUCUAGGAGCUAGAAUGUCUCCAUCCAGCAGUAGCUCAUUGGUUCCGUUGUUGGACUUCAGGAUUACUGAAGUGAUGGACACAUGGUCCGGCUCAUCAUGGAACUCAUUUCCACUGGCCUGUGAUAGGCCCAGCAGCAGCAGCAGCAGAAGCAGGCUAAGAGUGGGUCUGUGGUCCAUCUUUCGUCAGAGUAUGGAGUUACUUUGGAUGGAUGGGUCCUUGGCUUUACCUGUGGAGGAUCCUAAAAUGGCUCAUUCACCAAAGCUUGAUGCCAGUGUUCUGUCAGAGCUGAGUUUAUAUACAGCUGUCCCAUAGGUGUGACUGUGUAGGAUUAACGGUUGGGGAUGAUGCUCACUGUCUUGGAAAAACAACCAGAGGGAGUGCUCCACAACCUAACCCACUGUUUCAACAAUUCAUCUGUG